CAGCAACUUCUGAGUUCUCUUGUUGGCCCUUUUGCAAAUAGGUAAAUAAGUUACUGGGGAAAGUUCCCAUCGCCAUUCAUUCAUUAAAUUAAUAUCGGUUGGCUCUCUGAUGGGCCAAAUAGGAUUCUAAACAGAGAACAAAAUGAGCUAAAAUCUCUGCCAUCAUGGAGCCUACAUCCUAGUGUAGGAAGAGAGACAAUAAAAGAAAGAAGACUGAAGAUGAAAUCUGGUUAAUGAAUUAUGGCUAAUCAAGAUAUGGUUCCCUGUGAUCCCAGCCUUUGAGGGCUACAGUGCACAUCAUUUGAUGACUCUACAGCUGAUUAUGAUACACACCAAAUAAUUACUGAAAUUCAUCAUCUUGUUUCUGAAAUAAACAUAUCACUAAACUCAACCGUGAUUCAAAAUAUA
Long non-coding RNA from Canis lupus familiaris (dog), 408 nucleotides. RefSeq lists it as uncharacterized. The record is from RefSeq and is a predicted model, not a curated record. The transcript is spliced from 2 exons. NCBI's taxonomy places the organism in Eukaryota, Metazoa, Chordata, Mammalia, Carnivora, Canidae.